Molecule: long non-coding RNA, 1422 nt
Filed under: Sus scrofa (pig)
Lineage: Eukaryota; Metazoa; Chordata; Mammalia; Artiodactyla; Suidae
Description: lncRNA (ENSSSCG00065042643.1)
Source: RNAcentral
ACUUCGCUGUGACUCGUCCUUGAAUUCUUUCCUGCCAAGGAACCUCACUGGGCGGCCCGACCCAGGAACUCGCCCAAGGUCUGGGGCCUGAGCAUCCUCCCUCUCACCUGUUCUCCUGCAACACUCUGAUCACCUCACAGAGCCAUAUGCACGGCCUACAGAAAUUCCCAGGGUAGGAGUCGAACUGGAGCUGGAGCUUCCGGCCUACACCACAGCCACAGCAAUGCCAGAUCUGAGCUGCGUCUGCAACCUGCACCACAGCUCCCAGCAGCGCUGGAUCCUGAACCCACUGAGGGAGGCCAGGGAUCGAACCUGUGUCCUCAUGGAUACUAGCCAGACUGCACCUGCAGCAUAUGGAGGUUCCUGGGCUAGGGGUCGAAUCAGAGCUGCAGCUGCCAGCCCAUGCCACAGCCACAGCCACACCCAGUUGGAGCCGCAUCGGGCGCCUACGUCACAGCUUUCGGCAAGGCCACAUCCUUGACCCACUGAUCGAGGCCAGGGAUCCACCUGCAUCCUCACACACACCGCCAGGUUCUUAGCAUUGUGUGCGGAGCUGCAGUGGGAACGCCUGUAUUAGUAUUUUGGUAAGGAUUUUUGCGUCUGUUCACGAGUGAUAUGAGUGACAGUGCUGUGUAGUUUUCUUCUAAUACUUUUUGUGUCUUUUAAGGAAUGUUCCAUGUGUUAUGGACAUGUAUGUUCAUGUAUUACGAUGAUCAAAAUAUUGACAAAUCAAAUCCAGCAAUAUAUAAAAAUGAAAGUGCGUUUGACUAAAUGUUUAUCCUCGAUAUCCACGGUUUAGCCAACAUUUGAAAAUCAGUCAAUGCCGGUUCCCACAUUAAUAGAAUAAAAGUGGGAAAAAGGAUUAUUGUAAUACUUGCGGAAAAAGCAUUGGCUGCACCUGUGUCAUAUGGAAGUUCCCAGGCUAGGGGUUGAUGGGAGCUACAGGUGCCAGCCUACACCACAGCCACAACAAUGCAGGAUCGCAGGAUCGGAGCGGCGUCUGUGACCUGCACCCCAGCUCACGGCAACGCCGGAUGGCCCACCCGCUAAGCGAGGCCAGGCAUGGAACCCGCAUCCUCAGGGAUGCUAGACGAUUUGUUUCCCCUGGCCUCAACGGGAACUCCUGUUUUGUUUUUAAAGCCAUUCUGCUAGGGUAGAGGAAUGCGGCUGGGAUUCGUAUUCGCAUCUUCAUACUCAUGUACUUCUCAUAGGCUGUCCAGUGUUAGUUCAGAUCUUUGCCAUUGAAAACAAACAAAUUAACAAAACAAAACAAAGAAACUUUAGGAGUUCUCCCACAGCAGGUUAAGGAUCUGGUGUUGUCCUUGCAGCAGCUUAGGUUGCUUCCAUGGCACAAGUUUGAUCCCUGGCCUGGGAACUUCGCAGGCCUCUGGCGUGGUCAAAAAAAAAAAAAAAAAAAAAAAA